AGCGGCGGACGGGUGAGUAACGCGUGGGUAACCUGCCCUAUACACACGGAUAACAUACCGAAAGGUAUGCUAAUACGAGAUAAUAUAAGAGAUUCACAUGGAUUUCUUAUCAAAGCUGAGGCGGUAUAGGAUGGACCCGCGUCUGAUUAGCUAGUUGGUAAGGUAACGGCUUACCAAGGCGACGAUCAGUAGCCGACCUGAGAGGGUGAUCGGCCACAUUGGAACUGAGACACGGUCCAAACUCCUACGGGAGGCAGCAGUGGAGAAUAUUGCACAAAGGGCGAAAGCCUGAUGCAGCAACGCCGCGUGAGUGAUGAAGGCCUUCGGGUCGUAAAACUCUGUCCUCAAGGAAGAUAAUGACGGUACUUGAGGAGGAAGCCCCGGCUAACUACGUGCCAGCAGCCGCGGUAAUACGUAGGGGGCUAGCGUUAUCCGGAAUUACUGGGCGUAAAGGGUGCGUAGGUGGUUUCUUAAGUCAGAGGUGAAAGGCUACGGCUCAACCGUAGUAAGCCUUUGAAACUGGGAAACUUGAGUGCAGGAGAGGAGAGUGGAAUUCCUAGUGUAGCGGUGAAAUGCGUAGAUAUUAGGAGGAACACCAGUUGCGAAGGCGGCUCUCUGGACUGUAACUGACACUGAGGCACGAAAGCGCGGGGAGCAAACAGGAUUAGAUACCCUGGUAGUCCACGCCGUAAACGAUGAGUACUAGCUGU
This 710-nucleotide ribosomal RNA is filed under the name uncultured bacterium. RNAcentral describes it as "bacterial SSU rRNA". It matches the Rfam family "Bacterial small subunit ribosomal RNA", at positions 94 to 823 of the family's 1533-position model. The record is from RNAcentral.